UCACAAAUCACUGGUGAAAACAAGGAAACAGAACCUUCACUCUGAUUUGGCUUUACAUAUUUACCACAUGACUUCCCUUUCAGAUCCUGCAAAGUGUGUCCUUUCAGAGUAGUGAAAGCCUACAAGUCUCCAACAAGAUUUCUACCAGUAUGGAAGCACAUUAGUCAUAUACUGCAGUAUAUGUUGUUGCUGUUCAGCAGCACUGAAAUAACACGCUAUCACCAGAACCAUAGCUAUUUUGAGUUUCAUCUUCCCAAGCUGCACUAGAAGAGACAGGAAAGUGGUUGGAAACCGAGGAUCAGAAGAACAAAGAAUAUAGCCUUGAGAAUGAGAAAAUUAACAUCAAUCUGUUGUUUGUAAUAGUCAACCAUAUGCUAUUUGGGUGACAUAAUAUAA
Non-coding RNA from Pogona vitticeps (central bearded dragon), 396 nucleotides. The record is from RefSeq and is a predicted model, not a curated record. NCBI's taxonomy places the organism in Eukaryota, Metazoa, Chordata, Lepidosauria, Squamata, Agamidae.